This 70-nucleotide microRNA precursor is filed under the name Chlorocebus sabaeus (green monkey). RNAcentral's name for it is "miRNA (ENSCSAG00000024948.1)". Lineage: Eukaryota; Metazoa; Chordata; Mammalia; Primates; Cercopithecidae. The record is from RNAcentral.
AGUAGAGACGGGGUUUCACCAUGUUGGUCAGGCUGGUCUCGAACUCCUGACCUUAAGUGAUCCGCCCACC